CCUACGGGAGGCAGCAGUGAGGAAUAUUGGUCAAUGGUCGGGAGACUGAACCAGCCAAGCCGCGUGAGGGAGGAAGGUACAGAGUAUCGUAAACCUCUUUUGUCAGGGAACAAAGUCGGGGACGUGUCCCCGGAUGAGUGUACCUGAAGAAAAAGCAUCGGCUAACUCCGUGCCAGCAGCCGCGGUAAUACGGAGGAUUCGAGCGUUAUCCGGAUUUAUUGGGUUUAAAGGGGGCGGAGGCGGGUUGUUAAGUCAGCUGUGAAAGCCCGGGGCUCAACCUGCGCCCGGCCGUUGAAACUGGCAGUCUCGAGUUGGAGAGAGGUAUGCGGAAUGCGCGGUGUAGCGGUGAAAUGCAUAGAUAUCGCGAAGAACUCCGAUUGCGAAGGCAGCAUGCCGGCUCCACACUGACGCUGAGGCACGAAAGCGUGGGUAUCGAACAGGAUUAGAUACCCCUGUAGUC
RNAcentral lists this ribosomal RNA (460 nucleotides) under uncultured bacterium. Its description in RNAcentral is "partial 16S ribosomal RNA". It matches the Rfam family "Bacterial small subunit ribosomal RNA", at positions 338 to 795 of the family's 1533-position model. The record is from RNAcentral.